Molecule: ribosomal RNA, 255 nt
Filed under: uncultured bacterium
Lineage: Bacteria
Description: partial 16S ribosomal RNA
Rfam family: Bacterial small subunit ribosomal RNA
Source: RNAcentral
CGGACGGGUGAGUAACGCGUGGAAAACCUGCCGUAUACUGGGGGAUAACACUUAGAAAUAGGUGCUAGUACCGCAUAAGCGCACAGCUUCGCAUGAAGCGGUGUGAAAAACUCUGGUGGUAUACGAUGGUUCCGCGUCUGAUUAGCUAGUUGGUGGGGUAAUGGCCUACCAAGGCAACGAUCAGUAGCCGGCCUGAGAGGGUGAACGGCCACAUUGGGACUGAGACACGGCCCAAACUCCUACGGGAGGCAGCAG